Long non-coding RNA from Cuculus canorus (common cuckoo), 1896 nucleotides. RefSeq lists it as uncharacterized. Lineage: Eukaryota; Metazoa; Chordata; Aves; Cuculiformes; Cuculidae. The record is from RefSeq and is a predicted model, not a curated record. The transcript has 10 exons.
GUGUUAUGAUGAAAUCAAGCUGUCAUGCUGCAUGUGUGUGGUACAGAGUAUAUUUUUAGUGUUUUUAGCCUAUAAUUAUGUGUGUUUUGGUGUCUUUUGAAGCUAUUUGUCAAGGGAAGAGGUUAUGGUUAUUUUCGAUAGGGUGAAGUGCAUUUUACAACCUUUCUAAGCCUCAUUUAACUGAUCUAAACCUCAUUUUGUCUUCAAUUGAAAGUAAUAUUUAGGAAAAACUUGUUGUGAUUUCUUUCUCUUUUUUUUUUGUUACAUAUUACUUAGGGCACCCUUCUUCCUCAUCAGUUUGUCCAGUUGACUGCUGGACAGAAAGAUCCGUGAAUCUUCAAGUUUCCAUCACAGCAUACAUGCUGUCUCCUGCCAAGACCAAAGAUAUAUUUAUUAGGUCUGAUGCUUCUCUUAUGCUACUAUACAUCAAUAACUGAGUUGAAGACAAUGUGGCUACAUCAUCAUAAACCCGGUACUGGUGUCUCACUUGUUAAUACCAUAGACCUUCUUUCGCAGCUUAGAUGAGAAAGUCUGUGUGGUUUGGCAUAACUCUCAUCACAGGCAUCUUCAGAUGGGGAUUUCUGUUGCUGAUGGGAGACAGCUAUAACUUUGCGCCUAUGUUAUUGAAUCUUAAAGCACCAAAAGAACAUUAAACAUACCAAACCUCUGUCCUUCCGGGAAUUCCUGCCGCCUCAGCCAGCUCCUUUUCCUUCUUGGCUAACAGUCACUAUUCACAAACUCCUCUAAAGAAAAAGCCACCCAGAAUGGCAUUUCUGCCUCUUCUUUCAAGAAUCCCAGGAGACUUCAGGAAGAAAAAGCCAUGCGCUCAAAAUCCUCCUCUUCAGAAAUCGGUUUUGGCUGUGACCCUCCUUGGCCCCUUCUGGAUUCAAUUCAGGAAACCCUACAAGGAUGUUCUACUUCAGAUAAAUAAAGACUGCAAACUAAGUAAAGAUAAUAAGGAUAAAUAAAAUGACAACUCUGCCUCAAUUAAAAGAUAACUAAAGACGGCAUCCACUUUGAAAACACCCCAGAAGCAGACCCACUUCAUGAAGCCUGGAUCUGUACUGCUGUCCCCAGGAAGAUAUGGAGCUUCUGAAUUUGAAGAAAGAGUAAAAAGGCAGAAGCCCAUAUUAGGAGAAAAGCUCAUGAUAACCCUAUCAAGAAGCAGAAGACAAAACCCUGUGUGUUCUAAAGCUGUGGAAAACUUUGAACUUAAAAGAAAAGGCUCACUGGCAGUUUCAGAGAAACAAAAGGAUAAAUGUAAAACUGAUCUUCCAUCUGCACAAUGACACCUGAGAGAAAGUUCCAGUCAAAUCAGCAUGCAUUCAGGUGUCUCUUCUCUUCAUGGAGCAGGGAAAUGGUGGAAAAUGAAGGAUAAAUAGGACGGGAAGAGAAAAAUUCUUCGAAAAUUAGAAACUUAAAGUUGCUCGCACCUCACUAUGUGGCACCUCACCUGGGAGCCGGCAGCGUUCACCUCAGAGCUGUGGGAUGGGGGUGUCAGCAGCUGCAGGACCUUUGUGCUCCUUGGCGUGACAGCCCUCAACAGGUAACGAUGAGGGGAGCGGGGGCUUCGUAGGGGCAACCACACUGCCUGGGGCAGCCUCGGGACCUGAGCACACUGCAGCUCUGUCCCACUGCACAUCAGCCUGAAGAACAACGCCAGUGGCCGGAGGAUGCUCUCUGCCCCAAGCAUCAGUGGUGCUACAGCAGAAAAACGCGUGCCCUGCCCACCCUUUGCCUUCUGCCCCAAACCACUGAAUUUCUUCACCAGCUCCCAGGCGAGCUUCAGCCAGAGCUCGUUUUCCAAGCUGGCCUGGAAUGGAUCUCUGAGAAAAAGCCUAGAGAAAGAAAAAGGCAGGGCUAAGAGCAGCUCAGCCCCUGCACUGGUGUACCGUG